Molecule: long non-coding RNA, 741 nt
Organism: Stegodyphus dumicola
Lineage: Eukaryota; Metazoa; Arthropoda; Arachnida; Araneae; Eresidae
Source: RefSeq, a predicted model, not a curated record
UUGUGAAUUUUUGAGAUAGAUGUAGUAGCAACCCGAGAAACAUGAUGAAUGUUCUAAUGUAAGCAGACAAUUGUACAUGGCUGUAAAUAAAGCUUCUGUGUGAUAAAAAUGAAAAGGAAUUCCAAGCAUUUCUGUAGAUAGUCAUCAAGAAAGCUGCGGCAGACCACACAAAGAUAAGGAAACCAUGUGUAUGGUUCCCGCAAGUCACAGUUUCCAAGCCUUUUACGAUGUGUCAUACAACAUGUUUGUGACAUCGCAGAUGCAGUGAUUUGUUCCAGUUGACAGUGCAAAAGACAUAACUUCACGACUAGUGUCAGGAGAUUUUAGCAUUCUGCACUGUGUCUGUCAUCAAAACCUCUUGAUUUCAGGAGGGCUGGCGAACCAAUCAUUUUGUUUUUCCUCUGAUAUCAUUCCAGAUAUAACGAGUCAGAGGAUGUAAAAUACAACAGAAAAAUGAAGGAGACGUGGCAAAAUCAGUCUGAAGGUUUUUUUCAUUGGAACAGGACCUCAGAAGGCUUCUGCACUUUCAACUUGAAAGACCUAGACUACUCCUGAACUCUCAAAUAGAGAGACCUACAAUGCCUUUGAACUCUCGACUAGAUAGACCCUCUGGCUAGCAGGCUUCUCAUGGCAUGAGGAGACUAUUAUUUCAUUACAAUUAUCAUUUUAUGCUAUCCAUGAAUUAUGUAUGUAUUUAAAGAACUUCUUGUAAUUGUAAUAAAUGUGUCUUGAGUUCAAUAA